CCUCUUUUUACACCAUUUUUCAAUACUUGAUAAAAUUUUAUAUGUUGACUUUUUUCUAAAGAACUAUAAUUUUUCCAGAAGUCUAGAUUAAUAUGUUGAUAUUUAAGCGGUCUGAGAGUGUAGGUGGUGAGGCUCUAUAUUUUUAAGAUGAUAAGAGAUUAAUUACCUUUCAGGAAAUUAGUGAACAGACUUCAUCAGUGUUUUGCCUUCUUUGAGUUUCCAUUACUGGGAGAUUAACUUCCAUUAUAUUUGAAGUAUUUUUCUUAAUAUUUCAAGUAUAUCUGAGAUACUUCCACUAAUCCUUGAAAUAGAAUUAGUCAGACAAGAUUUCUCUCUUGAGCAAAAUAUGGAAAAUUACUCUGUGUACCAGAUGUCAGGCAGUGAAAAUAUAAGCUUUAACGUCAGCUCAUUAAAAAGAUGUAUUUUUCUUCCUGGGUUGGUUUACUUUUCCAUCUCAUAUCAAAAUAUAAAAAACCAGCCUCACAUUUAAGCAAGGGUAGCUUAGCCUUAAUGAAUUCUGCUUUGCCUCUGAGCAGCAGCCCUGGGCCCCUGCUUAGGAAUUCUUCAUGUGGUCGAUCGCUGCACUGAGUCAUGUUCAUCCAGAGCUGAGCCUUUUGAUUUGCCCCAAGGCUAAAAUUACCAUUUUAUCUUAGUUAACUCGCAAAAAUCUUUCUUCAUAAAUAUAUGACUUGAGAAAAAGAUAGCAAUAGUGUUCCAUGAGAAUUAUUUGAAUUUGUUUACUAGCUACAAAAUUAUAAGUUGCUGCCCACAAUGUGAAUUACUUUUGUGUUUAUUUUCAUCACUUUUUCAUGAAUAUGGACAAAACCUCACCCCCUUUUUUUUUUUUUAAUUUCUCAGUAUUCCUUCUUGUUCUUUUCUGUAGUACAUUAUAAUCACAUAAAAUUACUUUGCUUGGACACAGACCCAGUCAAUUUUUGACUUUUGUUAGCAUACCUUGUUCAGAUGAGGUGUAAAACAUCCGUUGUUGUUCUAGAGGUUUUUCCUUUAAUUCCAAAAUAAAUGAAGAGAACAGUGUCGUUGAAGAAGAUGAUAGUUGGAACCCAUAACUUUGAAUUUUGUUUUGGUCCACGUGGAAGUUGAGUUUUAUUAAUCUGGAAAAAGAGGAAAAUUAGACAUGAUGUAUUUGUGCAGCAUAAACAUUAAUAUUAUGUUGGAUAUGUAUAGUUUUUUUUAAUAAGGUAUUAAAAAACUAGCCUCUCUUUUCUUCACUUCUCUUAUUUAAAAAAAAAAAAAUCUGGUUGAUAUAUACCUAGGCUUUUUCUUUUAUUUAGGUGAGAACUGUGAUUGGAAAGAAGUUCAUUAUUAUACAAGUAGAUCUGAUAGGUAUGUGAGUUGAAGUAUUAAUUUUGCUUGAAACAGAGGUGUAUUUUCUGCUUUGAAUCACCUCACCCAAGUCAUCUUGUCAAGAAUCACGUGUGAUAAGAAUUUGUCUCUGUUGCCUAUCAGCCACGUGUUCUUUCUGAAUUAGAGAAAAUAAGUUCUAUUUGUGAGCUGAACUUCCUUAUGUACUGUUUUAUGGAAGCAGCAUAACAUUCUUUGGGGCACCAGAGCUGAUUGUCCUCACAAGGUUACAUGACCGCUCUGUUCUAAGACACACCUAUUAUAUAGAGUUAUACCUUUUUUUCCUGUGCCUCAGCUCUGUACCUGAGAAUUUAUGAUUCAGUGGAGCAGGAAGAAAGGUCACCUAAGAUUGUGAUAAGGAUGAAUUCCUGCAGGUUAUUUGCACAGAAUGGGACGAUACCUUGAAAUUUAAAGCAGAGAAGUAGUGGAAAACUGAGAUGGCUGCUCCAGAUGACUCUUGGGUUUAGUGUAAUUGUAGUAUAACAAGAUUUUUUAUAUAUGAAGCUUGAUUCUACAACCAAAAUAAUAGAAAUGGGAAAAUCGUGUCUGCUUAUGCUUUUUUUUUAAAGCUUAUUAUAAUUUAACUAAAAAUAAAUUGUAAAAAAUGAUUACCUUAACAUUAUACAAGUCUGGCAAUGAGCUCUGCAUGAGGAAAUGGAAGGAAGAAUAUGAAAAUGAUUCCAGGAAAGUAGGUGGGAGGAAGGAGAAUGGGUUUCCCUUUUCUGAUCAUGGGCUCUGGAAGUAUUCAUUGCCUCUACCAGCAUUCAGUAUAAACCAGAGAUAUGUACUUCUGUAUGUCUGUGAGCGUGUGCGUGCGUGUGUGUCUGAGUGUUAUUCUGAACAGCUUGUAAAUACUGUAGUUGUUUAAAAUGGAAACUAAAAGCUGAGAUUGUUUUUUCUUUGCAAAUAUAUUGCAUCAAAGAUACAGUAUUGACAGUGGAUAAAACACUGAGG
Bos taurus (domestic cattle) is the source of this 2316-nucleotide long non-coding RNA. The record is from Ensembl. NCBI's taxonomy places the organism in Eukaryota, Metazoa, Chordata, Mammalia, Artiodactyla, Bovidae.